UUCAACUGCAAGAAGCGCAUUUGCAUUAGUAUUUGAAAUGCGCAGUGAUGCUAUCACCACAUUAGAACGUCGCCAGCAAGGCGGUACAGUAAGGUGGAACGGUAUGUCAGAAUUGCCGUUCGGCCAUUACUUGAGUUCGGGUUGACAGCGGCCAAACGGUUUUAAAAACCAAGAGCUAUUUGGCUGUCAUGAAUCGACGGGUCUGCGCCAUAAACGAGGAAAGGAAGCAAAACAAAGAGCUAGAAAUCAUGCAUACGAUUGUUGCAAUUCUGCAUAUGAACCCCUAGAGCUUUUCGCAGUAGCUUGGAUUGCGCGUGCAAAUGUUUUACAAAGUGAGUUUGCUGCCAGUUUGCUUUUGAAUUGCGUGGAUGAAAUGAUGUGUAUCCCAUUGUAUGAAGCGUUUACUGUUCUACGUCGUCAGCCCUAACAGCAAUGCAAAUCAUUGUUUCAAUUACUUACAAUAUGAGGCGCUAGAGAUUUUCGCAGCAGCUCAGGUGUGUUUGAUCGGACUGGAGUAAUCGAUGCACAAUUUUGAAAAUCGAUUAUAUAUGAGGCUCACACCAUUUUCUAUUUCAAUGUGAGACUGCUGAAAUUUUAAUAAAAUUUGCCAUUAAAAAGAGAGGAAGUAUGCAGUCACAAGAAGAGAAUUUAGAAGUGUAUUGAUGUCAAGAAACAUUCUUGCAAUGGACCAUGUACAUCGUAUACACUGUUUUUGGGACUUAUCCAUAAGAGUAGCCAGAGGUCGAAAAUAAUUACAUAUGUCUAAUUUGUUUUCAAUAAGUUGGAGUUAGAGAUUGUAAA
This is a long non-coding RNA of Toxorhynchites rutilus septentrionalis, 801 nucleotides long. RefSeq lists it as uncharacterized. The record is from RefSeq and is a predicted model, not a curated record. The transcript has 3 exons. NCBI's taxonomy places the organism in Eukaryota, Metazoa, Arthropoda, Insecta, Diptera, Culicidae.